Molecule: ribosomal RNA, 432 nt
Filed under: uncultured bacterium
Lineage: Bacteria
Description: bacterial SSU rRNA
Rfam family: Bacterial small subunit ribosomal RNA
Source: RNAcentral
GUGGGGAAUAUUGCACAAUGGACGGAAGUCUGAUGCAGCGACGCCGCGUGGAGGAUGACGGCCUUCGGGUUGUAAACUCCUUUCAGUAGGGAAGAAGCCGAAAGGUGACGGUACUUGCAGAAGAAGCGCCGGCUAACUACGUGCCAGCAGCCGCGGUAAUACGUAGGGCGCAAGCGUUGUCCGGAAUUAUUGGGCGUAAAGGGCUCGUAGGCGGUUUGUCACGUCUGCUGUGAAAACGCGAGGCUUAACCUCGCGCCUGCAGUGGGUACGGGCGAACUAGAGUGUGGUAGGGGAGACUGGAAUUCCUGGUGUAGCGGUGGAAUGCGCAGAUAUCAGGAGGAACACCGAUGGCGAAGGCAGGUCUCUGGGCCAUUACUGACGCUGAGGAGCGAAAGCAUGGGUAGCGAACAGGAUUAGAUACCCUAGUAGUCC